Molecule: ribosomal RNA, 406 nt
Filed under: uncultured bacterium
Lineage: Bacteria
Description: partial 16S ribosomal RNA
Rfam family: Bacterial small subunit ribosomal RNA
Source: RNAcentral
AUUGAACGCUGGCGGCAGGCCUAACACAUGCAAGUCGAACGAGUGGCGGACGGGUGAGUAAUGUCUGGGAAACUGCCUGAUGGAGGGGGAUAACUACUGGAAACGGUAGCUAAUACCGCAUACCAUCGGAUGUGCCCAGAUGGGAUUAGCUAGUAGGUGGGGUAACGGCACACCUAGGCGACGAUCCCUAGCUGGUCUGAGAGGAUGACAAGCCACACGGGGACUGAGACACAGUCCAGACUCCUACGGGAGGCAGCAGUUGGGAAUAUUGCACAAUGGGCGCAAGCCUGAUGCAGCCAUGCCGCGUGUAUGAAGAAGGCCUUCGGGGUGUAAAGUACUUUCAGCGGGGAGGCGUUACCCGCAGAAGAAGCACCGGCUAACUCCGUGCCAGCAGCCGCGGUAAUUC